Molecule: ribosomal RNA, 429 nt
Filed under: Pseudomonadota bacterium
Lineage: Bacteria; Pseudomonadati; Pseudomonadota
Description: Proteobacteria bacterium partial 16S ribosomal RNA
Rfam family: Bacterial small subunit ribosomal RNA
Source: RNAcentral
UGGGGAAUAUUGGACAAUGGGCGAAAGCCUGAUCCAGCCAUGCCGCGUGUGUGAAGAAGGUCUUCGGAUUGUAAAGCACUAUAAGUUGGGAGGAAGGGCAGUAAGCGAAUACCUUGCUGUUUUGACGUUACCGACAGAAUAAGCACCGGCUAACUCUGUGCCAGCAGCCGCGGUAAUACAGAGGGUGCAAGCGUUAAUCGGAAUUACUGGGCGUAAAGCGCGCGUAGGUGGUUCGUUAAGUUGAAUGUGAAAGCCCCGGGCUCAACCUGGGAACUGCAUCCAAAACUGGCGAGCUAGAGUAGGGCAGAGGGUGGUGGAAUUUCCUGUGUAGCGGAGAAAUGCGUAGAUAUAGGAAGGAACACCAGUGGCGAAGGCGACCACCUGGGCUCAUACUGACACUGAGGUGCGAAAGCGUGGGGAGCAAACAGG